GACUCGAUGGCGUAGCGGUGGCGCGUCGGCUGAAAGUGGGGGCGGAACUCUGGAUUAUGCCGAGGACGUCGGUUCGAAUCCGACUCCAGUCA
Molecule: non-coding RNA, 92 nt
Organism: Mycena polygramma
Lineage: Eukaryota; Fungi; Basidiomycota; Agaricomycetes; Agaricales; Mycenaceae
Source: the annotation of a GenBank genome assembly